Molecule: ribosomal RNA, 354 nt
Filed under: Triticum aestivum (bread wheat)
Lineage: Eukaryota; Viridiplantae; Streptophyta; Magnoliopsida; Poales; Poaceae
Description: partial small subunit ribosomal RNA
Source: RNAcentral
AUGAAGCAUUGUCGAACCGCUGACGUCGGCGGUGCUUCAUUGCAACCUCGCCGGAGCUUCCAACGACCGCCGCGAUGCUUCACUGCAACCUCGCCGGAGCUUCACUAUAGCCAACACGCUUCAUUGCAACCUCGCCGGAGCUUCAUUGCAACCUCAGUCGUGCUCCAUGGUAGCACCCCGACGGCCGCCGGCGAAGCUUCAUUGCAGCGUCACCACCACCACGCGGCCGUGCUCCAUCGCAGCACCGCUGCCCGCCUGCUCCGUCAAAGCUCCACCGAAGCACCAUACGGGUGCCGGCAAAGCUUCACUGCAGCGCAACGCGAUGGCGUCGAGGUGCUGCGGCGAAUCAGGUGA